GAACGCUGGCGGCGUGCUUAACACAUGCAAGUCGAGCGAUGAAACUACUUCGGUAGUGAAUUAGCGGCGAACGGGUGAGGAACACGUGAGGAACCUGCCUUCAACACUGGGAUAACUCCGGGAAACCGGGGCUAAUACCGGAUACGAGCCUUGAUCGCAUGAUCGAGGCUGGAAAGUUUUUCGGUUGAAGAUGACCUCGCGGCCUAUCAGCUUGUUGGUGAGGUAAUGGCCCACCAAGGCGACGAUCUGUAGCUGGUCUGAGAGGACGACCAGCCACACUGGAACUGAGACACGGUCCAGACUCCUACGGGAGGCAGCAGUGGGGAAUUUUGGACAAUGGGCGCAAGCCUGAUCCAGCAAUGCCGCGUGCAGGAUGAAGGCCUUCGGGUUGUAAACUGCUUUUGUACGGAACGAAAAGGUCUGCCCUAAUACGGCGGGCUCAUGACGGUACCGUAAGAAUAAGCACCGGCUAACUACGUGCCAGCAGCCGCGGUAAUACGUAGGGUGCGAGCGUUAAUCGGAAUUACUGGGCGUAAAGCGUGCGCAGGCGGUUAUAUAAGACAGAUGUGAAAUCCCCGGGCUCAACCUGGGACCUGCAUUUGUGACUGUAUAGCUAGAGUACGGUAGAGGGGGAUGGAAUUCCGCGUGUAGCAGUGAAAUGCGUAGAUAUGCGGAGGAACACCGAUGGCGAAGGCAAUCCCCUGGACCUGUACUGACGCUCAUGCACGAAAGCGUGGGGAGCAAACAGGAUUAGAUACCCUGGUAGUCCACGCCCUAAACGAUGUCAACUGGUUGUUGGGUCUUCACUGACUCAGUAACGAAGCUAACGCGUGAAGUUGACGCCUGGGGAGUACGGCCGCAAGGU
Molecule: ribosomal RNA, 865 nt
Filed under: uncultured bacterium
Lineage: Bacteria
Description: bacterial SSU rRNA
Rfam family: Bacterial small subunit ribosomal RNA
Source: RNAcentral